Molecule: RNA transcript, 3188 nt
Organism: Acanthopagrus latus (yellowfin seabream)
Lineage: Eukaryota; Metazoa; Chordata; Actinopteri; Spariformes; Sparidae
Gene: khdrbs1b
Gene name: KH domain containing, RNA binding, signal transduction associated 1b
Exons: 11
Source: RefSeq, a predicted model, not a curated record
GUAGGCGGCGUCAGUCCGGAGAACUACGUCCUUCUGAGCUCACUUCCGCCGGCUUGAGUCGGAUCACUAUUCUUUACCGUCUCUCACCGCUUUUGUUCUCCCAUUUCCAACCAGCCGCCGCUGCUGACGAGACACAGCCAGCAGACCGGGGGAGACCACAGAGACGCAAAGUAGCGGAGCAGCCCGUCGCAGAAACGCCCGGUAGCCACAUGCACAGCGUCGUCCGCACGGAGGAUACGCGGCACUCCGUAGUUACAUAACUGGACUACUUCUUUUUCUAUCACUGUUGGGUUUUUUUUCCUCGACGCUUUUUCCAUUUUUUGUUGUUGUUGUUGUUGUUGUUGUUGCACCGAAACUGACUCCCGCCUCUCUUAACUCAAAAUGGAGAACGACGACAAAUACCUCCCACAGCUUCUGGCGGAGAAGGACAGCCUUGACUCGUCGUUCACGCACGCCAUGAAACUUUUAAACGCAGAAAUUGAUAGACUCCAGAAAGGCGAGACUAAAAAGGAGGCAGAAGCGUACCUGGACCUUUUCACAACAAAGAACAUCAAGCUUAAGGAACGAGUGCUCAUACCUGUCAAACAGUACCCAAAGUUCAAUUUUGUGGGGAAGAUUCUGGGACCUCAGGGCAACACGAUCAAACGUCUGCAGGAAGAGACUGGAGCCAAGAUCUCUGUCCUGGGCAAAGGCUCCAUGAGAGACAAAACCAAGGAGGAGGGGCUGAGGAAAGGCGGCGAGCCAAAGUAUGCCCACUUGUCUAUGGAGCUGCACGUGUUCAUUGAGGUGUUUGCCCCGGUGCCAGAGGCCUACCUGCGCAUGGCACAUGCCAUGGAAGAAGUCAAGAAGUUCCUGUUCCCCGAUAUGAUGGAUGAUAUCUGCCAAGAGCAGUUCAUGGAGAUGAGCUACCUGAAUGGAGGCCAGGAGCACGGAGCCCGGGGCCGAGGGGGCAUGGUCAGGGGCCGCGGAGUCCCUCCUGCUGGAGCUCACAGGGGCAGGGGAAUGCCUCCUCGCGGUGCAGCUGCCAGAGGAGGUGUGUCCCGAGGCGGUCCAGCCAGAGGUGGCGCAGUGAGGGGUGCCCCAACAGGCCGCGGAGGACCAACUGCAGCACCCGCUAGGGGAGCCGUGGCACCCCGCGCCAGGCCCCCUGCCGGUGGACCCCCCCAGAGAAUGGCACCCCCCCACCAGCACACCCCUGCUGCAGCAGCUGAGAGCUACGAGGAAUAUGGCUACGAUGAGAGCUACACAGACACGGCCUACGAGUCAUACGACAGCUAUUACAGUCAGCCGCAGGCAGAGCCAGAAUACUAUGACUACGGACACGGAGAAACCACAGAGUCAUAUGAGUCUUAUGGCCAGGAUGACUGGAAUGGGACCCAGCGAUCAGUUCCAGGGAAGGCUCCUCCCCCCUCCAGAGGUGCCAAGACGCCUUACCGGGAGCACCCAUACCGACAGUACUGAAGCAGACUCACCACCCUUAACGUGUCGCCCUGACUACCGCCUGUCUACCACGGCAGCUCUCGCUUUAAGAAGCCCGACAAAAGCACAGCUAUCGGUCACUGAGUGCCACGGAGACUGACAGUCUGCUGAAGUGAGACCUUACAAACCUCAGUGAAGCCGUGCACGGGAGCAGCUCAGCAUGAAGGAGGUGGUCAGACGGAGCUCUCGUGGGGGGGGUGGGGUUACCCCGUUGAAAGGCGGUGGCCCAGGGCCCAGUUCUGUUCCUGGCAGGGGAAUGGGGUUGUGCUGGCCGCCUGCCAAGUGACCCACAGGAGCCAGCUGAUGUAGAGCGGGGGGACAGGAGCUGGCUCCGACUCCCACUGGAGCAGGACUUAGACUGCAGCUGGUCAGCCAAGGCACUCGGCUCGCUGGGACUCCAGAGUAACCAAAGACUGAACAACCACUAAUUUUUCUGUGGACUGUUUUUUUUUAUUUAUUUAUUUAUUUUAUUUAUUUUUUUAUUUUACUAUUUCCACAUUUCAUGUCAACAUUGAAUUACUGUGCAUUAUCCUUGUGUAAUUAUUUUCUCUCAUUGAAUACGCCCACUUAAAGCCUUCUCUGAUUGCGCGCUGCUGUACACAGACAUCUGUGGACCACCCCCUCUCCCAAGAAAUGUAAUUGUUACAGCCUAAUUUGCCAUAAAAUGAGCACUCCUUUUAUAGUAUGCUGUGAAAUUGUUUUAAAUUUCUAUUAACCCUUGAAUAAGACAAGAAAAGAGCUCUUUCUGCAAGGCAAGCUGUAUUCUCCAAUCCAAGGAGGUCGGUGUGACAACUGUGUUUCAAGUCUUUGAACAUUAUUAUUUUAUAAUUUUUUUAUUUAUUUUUUUUUACAUUCUGUCUGCGUGUUGUUUAGUAUCCACGCCUCAUUGCCGCCUGAAAUUAGACUCAGCGGCGCAGAGUUCGAGAUGCGGGGAGGGUGCGGCUCUCUAUCUCGCCGCGACCGAGAUCACCGCGCCUUGGCAUCACACGGCCCUGUGCAGCCCCGAGGAUAUCGAAUGCUAAUGCGGCCGCCUGUUUGCAUGUACUCUCAUGUAUCCUCCCUGCAAAUGUGCAACACUUUCAUAACCGAAGCUGUCCUGUUCUCGCCCGUUCAGCAUCCAAGUAUGGUAAUUCGGCGAGAUGGACCCAGGAGGAGAGCCGCGUGUGAGAAAGGGACAGAGGGUGAAGACAGCCAUUACUAACUCGCCUCCAUCUAUCCAUCCAUCAUGCCUCUGUUGAUUUGAUUCCCCUCCACGCCAUUUCUUGCCAUUAUCACUGAUGAUAUUACGGCUGCCUGUGGUGCCGAGUUGCAUUUAGAGGUCAAAACUGUACUUUCCUGUAUUAAAAACACAUUUCUCUGUCCCGAUCCGCUGGUCUGAGGCAGCGUUAGCCAAGUCAGAGGCUCCAUUUAGUUUAUUGAAAGUGCUAGCAGCUUAGAGGAUAGAACAUUAGAUAUUAGGAUAGAAACCAUCAUUUGAGAUGAAAUGUCAGCGGGCCAAAUCCAAAACAGAUAAUUUUUCAGUCUUUAUGUGCUAUUAUGUCUAAAAUAAUGAUUUCUGUGUCUCCUAUAAUCUGAUUAAAGAUAAGUGAUGGUGUGGAAGCCGUCUCCUCUGUUUGAAUCGAUGAGCUGUCAGGAGUGUGAGGCUGGGGAAAAAGGAAGUAAAUUGUUACUGUGCAAUGAUCAAUAAAAGAAGACUUGAAUAUGUGCAA